RNAcentral lists this transfer RNA (73 nucleotides) under Bigelowiella natans. RNAcentral describes it as "tRNA-Val". It matches the Rfam family "tRNA". From Rfam's summary of the family: Transfer RNA (tRNA) molecules are approximately 80 nucleotides in length. Their secondary structure includes four short double-helical elements and three loops (D, anti-codon, and T loops). Further hydrogen bonds mediate the characteristic L-shaped molecular structure. tRNAs have two regions of fundamental functional importance: the anti-codon, which is responsible for specific mRNA codon recognition, and the 3' end, to which the tRNAs corresponding amino acid is attached (by aminoacyl-tRNA synthetases). tRNAs cope with the degeneracy of the genetic code in two manners: having more than one tRNA (with a specific anti-codon) for a particular amino acid; and 'wobble' base-pairing, i.e. permitting non-standard base-pairing at the 3rd anti-codon position. Lineage: Eukaryota; Cercozoa; Chlorarachniophyceae. The record is from RNAcentral.
GGUAUCAUGGUGUAAUGGUUAUCACGUUAGUUUAACAUGCUAAAGGUUUUUGGUUCGAUUCCAAAUGAUACUA